RNAcentral lists this ribosomal RNA (292 nucleotides) under uncultured bacterium. RNAcentral's name for it is "partial 16S ribosomal RNA". It matches the Rfam family "Bacterial small subunit ribosomal RNA", at positions 505 to 796 of the family's 1533-position model. The record is from RNAcentral.
GUGUCAGCCGCCGCGGUAAUACGGAGGGUGCAAGCGUUGUUCGGAAUCACUGGGCGUAAAGCGCGUGUAGGCGGCCUGCGAAGUCUGAUGUGAAAGCCCGGGGCUCACCCCCGGAAGUGCAUUGGAAACUGGCAGGCUGGAGUCCCGGAGAGGAGGGUGGAAUUCCUGGUGUAGCGGUGAAAUGCGUAGAUAUCAGGAGGAACACCGGUGGCGAAGGCGGCCCUCUGGACGGUGACUGACGCUGAGACGCGAAAGCGUGGGGAGCAAACAGGAUUAGAAACCCCCGUAGUCC